GAUCCUGGCUCAGGAUGAACGCUAGCUACAGGCUUAACACAUGCAAGUCGAGGGGCAGCGGGAUUGAAGCUUGCUUCAAUUGCCGGCGACCGGCGCACGGGUGAGUAACGUGUAUCCAACCUUCCGUACACUCAGGGAUAGCCUUUCGAAAGAAAGAUUAAUACCUGAUGGUAUCUUAAGCNCACAUGUAAUUAAGAUUAAAGAUUUAUCGGUGUACGAUGGGGAUGCGUUCCAUUAGGUAGUAGGG
This 247-nucleotide ribosomal RNA is filed under the name uncultured bacterium. RNAcentral's name for it is "partial 16S ribosomal RNA". It matches the Rfam family "Bacterial small subunit ribosomal RNA", at positions 15 to 253 of the family's 1533-position model. The record is from RNAcentral.